Molecule: long non-coding RNA, 23664 nt
Filed under: Lynx pardinus (Iberian lynx)
Lineage: Eukaryota; Metazoa; Chordata; Mammalia; Carnivora; Felidae
Source: RNAcentral
GGCCUCCAUCGAGUGCCUCGGACGAAGGCACCGAAAUGGACCCAGGGCAAUCCGCGGUCCAUCUGGGCACGCGGUAAUGUGAGCAUCUGCCAAGUCGGGAGCCCUUCUCUGGGGUUACAAAGAUAAAGGCCGCCGGCCCUCGAGGAACCCGCAGAAGCAAGGAAGAGAGCACCAUGAAAUGCAAGCUAUUUAACUUAUGCUCUGUAUGGUUUGGGGGGAGAUGUUUUAGCUCCUAGUAACAGUUUUUUGGUCUACAGUGUAGUAUUAAUGAUACUGAUGCUGGAAGUCGGUUAAUAAGGUUUUGCAUAAUGUAGGCAAAGUACCUGACACCAUGAGUGGCCCUAGUAGUCACCCAACAAAUGGCUUAUUUAAUGCACUUUUCGUUUGUGCAAGAAAAAGCCUGAUUUCUAAUUUCAGGGAGAGACUCAUCUAUGAACUGCUUGGUGUUUUAUAGAACUACCCCACCCCCACCCGGUCCUGGCUCUUUGCCCCACAGAAACAUACAGAGGCCAAUCCAAAGGUUAAGUGCUCCUGCAGUUCUCUCUUCUCCUACCUCAUUAAUUUUCUCCCUUUAUUGGAUCAUCUCCAUCUACAUAAAAUCAUGCUACUUCUCCCAUCUUAAAAACAAAAAAACUCUUGAACCCCCUUCCCCCACCAGCCACUUGCCCCUCUUCUGCUCUGCUAUAGCCAAAUGCCUGUAAAGAAUUUUAACAAGGGGCACCUGGGCGGUUCAAUGGCUCACAUAUCUGACCUCCACUCAGGUCUCAUGGUUCAUGAGUUCAAGCCCCACAUCAGGCUUUGCACUGAUAGCCUGCUAGGGAUUCUUUCUCCCUCUCUCUGCCCCUACCCAGCUUGCACUCUCUCAAAAUAAACAAAUAAACUUCAAAAACAAAACAAAGAAUUGUUAACAAAAGCUGUCUCCAUGUGCUGUCCUCCCAUUUACUCCAGUCAGGCUUUUGCUUUGACCACGUCCCUCAAAUUCUUCUUACCGAGAUCAAACUCUCAAAUCAAAAGGUGUUUCAGUCUUUACCUCACUUGGACAGUCAGCAGCAAUUAACAGUUGAUCACUUUCUCCUCCUGGAAACGGUUUUGACUUCCACACCACCAUGUUUUCAUGGCUUUAUUCCUAACCUUUGCCCGUCCCUUCUUUUCUCCCAGCCGCUGAGCUGUGGAGUGCCCAGGUUUCAGACUUUGGAUCUCUUGUCUAUCCACACUCUCUCCCAUGGUGAUCUCAUCCUGUUUCAUGGCACUAAAUACCACCUAUGUGGUAACGACUCCCAAAUCUCACCUCCAGCCGGGCGUUCUCCCCUGAACUGCAGGCUUCAGGCAGUUGCUCACUUGGAUGCCUAUAGGGCUUCUCCCACUGAACAUUUCCCACGCUGACAUCCUGAGAGUCCUCCCUCUGUCCCCCACCCAACCUGUCCAAACUCAAGUCUCACUCCUAUCAGGCCUAAAACCUUGGUAUCAUCUUUGAUUUUCUAUUUCUCUUGCAUUUCAAAUCCAAUCCGUCAGGAAAUCCUUUUAGCUCUACUUCAAAAGAAGUCCAAGAAUUCAACUGCUUAGUACCACCACUGUUCUUACCACCCAGGUCUAACCUACCAUCAUGUCUUCACUUUGAUUGCCCUAACCCUGUUUCUACUUUUGCCCCCCCUGGGCUCUUCUCAACACAGCAGCCAGAGCAAUCCCUUUCAACAGGAAGCUCAUAUCCCUCUUCUGCUCAAAACCCUGCGAUGAACCCCAUCUCAAUCAGAACAAAAGCGAAAGUCCAUACAGUAGCCCGGAAGGACAAUACAUGAUCUGCCUUUCUCUAGCCUCAGCUCCUACUUCUCUCACUUCACUUACUUAGCUCCUGCCACAGUGGCCUCCUCGGUAUUCCUGGACUAGAUCCCUGGACAGGUAUGCUUCCAUCUCAGGGCUUUUAUGCUAGCUGGCCUGUCUGGACUUGUCCUCUCCCCAGCUGUUUUGCUCCCUCACUUCCUUCAAGACCCUGAUCAAUUGUCACCGUGUUCCUCAGGCCUACCCUCAGUAUUUAAAAUUAAAAAUGCAUUCUUCAUACAGUAAGCUUUCUUUAGUGUUUUAUUGACAGAACUUUUACCUUCUAUAAUAUUAUAAAAUGUCCUUUAAAAGUUGUAUUUGUUGUCUAACUCUCCUCACUAGAAUAGGAGUUCUGGGCAGGCAGGGAUUUUUGUCUAUUCUCUCCAGUGAUAGAUCCCCGAUGCCCCUAGAAUGAUGGCUGGCAUUUAGUAUGCAUGGUAGCUUUGGGCCAGAGCACGUGGUUGCAAAUAUUUCCUUGCCCAGAAUGAUGCCAGUUGACCAGAUAGACAUUUUCGAGAUGGUUGUGCUCCCCCAAAGGGUCUGAUGAGUAUGUUUACCAACACAUACAUGAGAGGGGCUCAAAGAGUAUUUAUUCACUGUGACUUUUUAAAGUGACUAAAGCCAGUGGUACUUCUCACUCUUGCUUGCAUUCGUGUGGUUUUCAAUAGCUUUCAUUAUUCCAUGGGCGCCUGAGAUGAAGUGGUCUCCCGAAAGGUGCAAAGCUUAAACUAAAUGUGAAAUGCAGACCCCAAGCAUCUUAAAAUGUGGAGAAGACACUCAAUGUAAUACCAGCUAUUAUGUAAUAAUUCUUAUUAUCAGAAUUUCUGUGUUGGUGGACAUACUCUACCAUAAUUAAUGACCACAAUUAAGUUGACAGCAUUCAUAUCUGAGAGAAGGUAGCUAACAUUCAUUCAGAGCAACGGUUACUGUCUAUACCAAGCACUCUUCGAAAUAUGUUAGAGUAUUAAUGAGUUGAAUCCUAUAACAACCCUCCAAGGUAAGUGCUAUUACUCCCAUUUUAAAACCGAAAAAAAAAAAAUGAGGCACAGAAGAGUUAAUGGUCACUCAGUUAAUAAGCUGGUGAAUCAGAAUUUUAACAUGGGCCAGAUGGUUCUAGACUAUGCUCUUAAAUAUUCUGCUCUACCUCUUUAAGUAGGAAUGAUGUAUCAGGGGAAAUUUCUGUAUAAAGAUUAAUUUGUAAAUCACAAAGCAAAAAACUUGAUCCUCAUUGGCCCCCUCUCACUGCCUUGUUUUAUUUGUUGCCAUCUCUCUUUUACUGUAGCCAACCUCCUUCAAGGCUAGAGGGAUCAUUUGAGUCAUAUUUGUGUCAACGAUACUCUAAGACACAUACAUGGGAGGGGCUCAAAGAGUAUUUAUUCACUGUGGCUUUUUUUUUCUAAUAUUUUAUUUUAUUAUUUUAAAAUUUUUAUCCUAUUUUUAUUUUUUUAUAUUAAAUAUAAUUUACUGUCAAUUGGUUUCCGUACAACACCCAGGGCUCAUCCCAACAGGUGACUUUUUAAAGUGACUAAAGCUAGUGGUACUUCUCAUUCCUGCUUGCGUUUGUGUGGUUUUCAAUAGCUUUCAUUAUUCCACGGGUGCCUGAGAUGAAGUGGUCCCCCGAAAGGUGCAAAGCUUAAACUAAAUGUGAAAUGCAGACCCCAAGCAUCUUAAAAUGUGGAGAAGACACUCAAAAUGUAACACCAGCUAUUAUGUAAUAAUUCUUAAUAUCAGAAUUUCUUUUCAUUAUGAUAUUUUUAAAAAUAGAAAAAAAAUGAGCUCUUUCCUUCUACUUUUUCCAUUUCCUGGGUUCUUUACAAUGAAGUCCCCUAAGUAAUCCCAGACCAGAGCCACACCUCACUCUAUCUGCCCUUCUCUAUUGUCCCAUAGGAUUUGGUGUCGUAAACAACACAGCAGAACUUCCUUCCCUGUCCCCUUCUCUAGGAUCUGGAGUGGUUGCAAUACCUGAUUUUACUUUGCUGUUUCCUCCCCUGAAGUAGGAAGCGGAGAAAUGUUGCACAAAGUGAUAUUGUAAAUUACUUAUGAGUUAUUGCAUUUGGAAUUAAUUUUGCUAUUGUGCCCUCUCAUCAGCAAACACCAGUUGGACCUGAUUAACUCAUGUCCUGAACCUGAACAUCUCUUCCUCUCUCUGCAGUGAUAGCCUAACAUAUCUUUGUAGCUAGUAACUUGGGCCAUUCUCAACCCCAGUCCAACUUGUGGAACAGCUACUUGUACUGAUGUUCUCUUUGAUAUUAAUCCUAUAUAAAGAAUCAAGUUGUUUUUUUUUAUUUUUUUACGUUUAUUUCUACUUUUGAGAGAGCGAGAGAGACAGAGCAUGAGUGGGGGAGAGGCAGAGAGAGAAGGAGAUAGAAUCCAAAGCAGGCUCCAGGCUCUGAACUGCCAACACAGAGCACUUACACGGGACUCCAACCCCCAAGCUGCAAGAUCAUGACCUGAGCCGAAGUCAGAAGCUUAAACGACUGAGCCACCUAGGUGCCCCAAGCCUGUAUAAAGAAUCGAGAAUUUUUUAUUUGCAGAGUGCAAUGGAAAGAUCACUGGUCGUGGAGUCAGACAGCCCUCGGUUUAAACCCUGACUCAGCCCCAUUUGAAUGUGUUACUUACUUUCAUUGAGAAACAAGCUUCUUUUCUGAAAAAUGAGACUGAUAAUACCUGACUCGUAUUUUAAUGAAUGAAUGUGAAGGCACCAUGCUUUCCACAGGAGAUAGGUAGCACCCAGGGAACACACGAAGGUGUAGUUUUUUUUUUUUCCUUUUUUUAAAAAUAAAAAUGGUAUAUAUUUAAGGCAACAUGAUGAUUUCAUGGACAUACAAAUAGUAAAAGGAUUACUAAGUCUAACAUAUCUUCUCACAUAGUUACCUUAUUUGUGUGGGUGGUAAGGACACCUGAAAUCUACCCUCUUAUCAAUAUUCAAUACAGUAUUAUUAACUAUAGUCAUCAUGUUGUACAUUAGAUCUCUAGACUUAUUUAUACUUUAAACUUCAACUCUAUACUCUUUGACCAGCAUCUCCCCACUUUCCCCACCCAUUUUCCCCAUCUCUCUGCCCCCAGUUAUCACCUUUCUGCUCUCUGCUUCUCUGUAAUCGACCUUAGAUUCCACAUAUAAAUGAGAUCAUGCAGUUCUUUUCUUUCCAUGUCUGGCAUAUUUAAAGUCCUCACCGAAAGAGUCGUUUCCAACCACACUUGUCUUCUCUUGUGGAACUGUUGUCAAUGACAUCAGCCAUUUUGUUUGGAUUAUCCUAUGUUGAGUUCCACGUCAUAAACUCAUUUUAGAACUUAGUACUAAAAUAAAGUUUCUCUUUCUUAAAAAAUCGAUGUUCCUUCAUUUCUUAGAAAAGGUAUUUUGUCUACUUUCACAGUGGAUUUGCCAUUGUUGUUAAGGAGAACUGUGUAAACCCAUGUUUCCCUUUGUAUCCUGGUUGCCAGGAAGCUCAAAGUCAUUAAAUGAUUGUACUAUGGAAAUAAAGAUUUUGCUUCCUACCAUUUUUUUUAAACAUCUUUGAUGUGUUUUUUAUUUCAACAACCUUAUUGGAUAUUUGAAUUUUACUCUGUGUUCUCAAAUAUAUAUUUAAACAUAUGAAGUAUACAAAAUACCUUAGCUCUUCAAAUUAACACCAUAAUAUUAACCAAAGUUAAAGUGGACAUUUUCCCCCCUGUACAGCUUUAUGUUCGAACUAUUAAGAUUGUUUCUCUAAUUAUGAGAAUAAUCUAAAUACAUUUGAAACAUCUGAUUAAUUUCUGCAUCAAAUGUUAUCUUUCUCCCCUGCCCCCAACCUUUUCUGUGAGUUUGUAUUGGAAUCAGGUAGGAAAAGGACGGUGUGUGUGUGUGUGUGUGUGUGUGUGUGUGCAAACUUUAAUCAACCUAUCCCAGCAGUGUUUAUCAGGCCCAUUUUUCUUUUCUAAUCACUUGAAGAGCCUGAAUUGAUUUACUUUUCCAGUAUAGCAGACUUAAAACAAGGAGUUUGCUUUGUAGCUUAUCUGCUCAUCACAGAAAAAAACAAUACUCUGUGAGCACCACUCCUCAAUACCACAGGAAACUCAGCUUCUCUGUCUCUCCUCUUCAUUUUUUCUUUCAUCUGACUUUCAUCUCUCUCCAGUUAUCCCAUUUCUUGAUUUCAAACUCCCUAAUGCUAUGCUAUGCUAUGCUAUAAUACAAUUCUAUGGAGCCACGUUAGACAGGGAUAAGUGUUUGAAUUGAUGUGUCAGAUAUAUACAGACCUCACUGUUCUAGAGACUUCUGACAACUCAAAGCAGGAGCCAGGAUUCAGAACAUGAGGAAUGCUAAACACAAAGGCAAAUUUAUUAAGCAUCUACUCUGUUCCACACAAUGUGCCCAGAGGAGUGGAAGAUGGAGACAAAAUAAGACAUUUGUUAUGUGUCUCUAUAUAAGGAGUUUACUGCCUAGCAUAUAACUGUAAUGUGGUAAUGUACUAUAAAACAUACUGUAAAAAAGUAAAGCAAAUAAGUUCAGAGAAGGGGAUAUCUCUGCCCAAUGAAUCUAUCAAGAAAGCUACUUGUAUGUAACCUUCCUAUGGAAAAAAGGGACCUUUUAGAUAGAAGAGAGAGCAUUAAGAAAGCAAGGAGACGGUAAAGCCAAGGCUGAUUAGGGAAGUGGUGAGUAACACUGGCUGCCUGAGCCCAUGGGACAUGGAUGGAGGCAUGAGAGAUAAGACGGGGGAGUUGGGGCCAGAUUUGGGGAGGGGAAGAAUAGGUCUUUGAAUUUUAGAUUUCAUGUCGAAUGCCGUUUUAAUUAGGUCAUUUCCUUGCUCUAAACUUGCACUGGCUCCUUCUCACCGGACAAAUACAGGAAGAGCCGGCGGCUGUGUAGGAAGUAGAAACUGAUUAUAUGGGGCUAGGAUGAAAGAGAGAGAUGAGCUCCAGCCACAGGGUUUAAAGACUCCAAUAAAGCAAUAGGAUUCUGUUUCCUAAUAUGUUAAACAAAGCUGUCAAUCCAAGUCAAGGCUGCUCAGUUGACUAAUCAUUAAGGUCCCACUUAAAACACUGACACCCUCUGCCCACUCCUAACUGCCAUUCUUUUUUUCACGUUAUGAUGAUCCCAUAGUUACAGAUCUUAAGAUUCUCAUAGAAAUAAGCAUGAAACAGGUACCUGUUAGCUUUUGGGCCAAGUGUUGGACUGGAAAUUCCAAUGAACUGGUUGUGUCACCAGGGGCUUGGGGCCACUUACUUUUUAUAAUGUUUCACAUUAUGGGGAUAAUUGCAUUGUUUCUCUUGGGGGAGUUAUUAAGACAGCUAAUAAAAACAUUUAUGUAUAGAACCCAGCUCUGAUUAGAGAUUUAGUGUCAGUAUUCAGUAAGUUAUAAAUGGUUGUUUUAAGCUCUUAUUUCUGAGAUACAGACGGUGAUGGUUAUAGCUAGCACAGUUCUUUUAGACUCAUUUGAGUUUCUGGCUAUUGUCAAGAACCAAGUUUUUAUGAGUUACAAUUAUGCCGAAAUAAGAUGAUCGAAAUUUAUUUACUGUUUCUCAAACAGGAACAAAAAGAAACUCUAUUUAAAAGGUCCUUCUCUUAUUGUUCAUUUCAAGAGGCUGAUUCUUGAUGUACUGGUAUUGUAUUUAUAAGACUGACAUAGGAAACUCCAGUAUGUAAACAUGGGUGGAUGAAUGUACUAUACCUUUAAUAUUAAUAUUAAAGUUAGCUCUGUAAAAGGCUUAUCAACCCAACAAAGUACAAGAGAAAAGUUACAUACAUUGAGAUGAAUUUGCUAGUCAAGAAGGCAAAUAUGGAUACAUUUAAAGGGGGCAUUUUUCUCCUCCUAUCCCCUGCUCUCCUCUUCAACAAAAGCCCAGAUAAAGUCUGAGGAUCUCCAACAGCAGGAGUGCUGGUGGGGAGAAAUCACCUAAGCGCUCUCAAUUCCUCUCGUCUGUUAACAUCAAUAGGCAAUGUAAUUAAGACAAGCCCUAAUGUGGUUUAUUGUUUUCCUAUUGCACACGCUAGUUUUGUCUCUCAUCCCAUCUGGCUCCUGAAGUUCCUCAAAGUGACUAUCCAGGUGGAAAAUUCCUUACACAGUCAAUUUUGAAGGAGCCAUAUGGAUGGAGAGCAACAUUACUGCUAAUAAAUAACUCACUGAUAAUUAGUUCUCAAAAGGAAGUUUCAUCUCUCAUGGGCUAUUAGCAUUUCAUGUUAAAUUCUCUAGGACUUCGUAAAUAGUUGAAUGCUUUGCUCUUGCUGGAAAUAUCAACUCCUUGUUUUCCAUUCUAACUGUCACAAUCCUUACAACAAGGAAGAGGAGGGUUGAGGGGUGCACAGGAAGGAAGGUGGUCAUCACAUACUGUACAGGGAGUCCCUUGGGCACAGCAGACCCAGCAUGCCCAAAUCAUCCUGUCCUUAUCCCGUGUGCAUCCCUCAACCCUCCUUCUUUGUUAGAGUCUAUAAUUAAAUAAAAGUCACCCCCUUAAUUCAGUUAUCCAAUCCUGCCAGUCUGGAAAACUUUUUCAGUCUCUCGUGUUCACCAACCCCUAUUACCAAUCCAUUGCCAAACCAUACCAUUUUUACCUCUUAAAUAUCUUAAAUAGUACUCUUUUCUCCAUCCCCUUUGCCUUCAUUGAUCACCCGGUAUUCUUAACUUCACUCCCAGAGAAGGCCAGGAGCAAGCCCAGGGCCCAGGGGAGAUAUAGUUUCAUUGGACUUGGAGCUAGAGGGACAAUGGGUGUGUGGCUGGCAAGCCUCGCCCAAGGCAAUGGAAGAUGGAAGAGUCUAAAGGGACAGCUAAGAUCCACAUUUUGGGGAGAGAGUCAGGAAGUAUCAAAUCUAAGACCCUGUGUGUUUGAGUGGGAGAAGGGAUGGGGUUAAAUGGCAGUUGCUGAGUGAUUACUCUGCGUUUGAAGUUGGCACUUAUGGGCAGGAAUGUGAUGGUCUAGUGGAACAGGAGUAGACAGACAUCGGAACUCUAAGCUUCUAAACCAAGGCUCUUGUCUCAAUAGCACUAACUAAAAUUCAUAAUUAUUUAAUUUUCCUUUUCUUUUCUCAUCUCCCCACUAAAAUCUAAGCUUUGAAGUCAAGGACCCUCUAUGUGUGUCACCAUCAUAUGCCCAGUGCUUCCCACAGUACUUCAGGCAUGAUCAACACUGUCAAAUAUUUGUUGAGGGGUCCCUGGGUGGCUCAGUCAGUUGAGCUCCUGACUUCAGCUCAGGUUAUGAUCCAUAGUUUUGGUUUGGGAGUUGGAGCGCCACAUCUGGCUUGCUGCUGUCAGUCCGCUUCGGAUCCUCUCCCUCGUUUGCGCCCACUCUCAAAAAUAAACAUUUUUUAAAAAAGCAAAAAAUGAAAUAUUUGUUGAAUAACUAUAUGAAUUGGUCUUGAAUACUGAAAAUCUAAUCUUAUCACUUCAAUGCUUAAGAAUUCUUCAGUGACUCCAUCAAGCGUUUAGGGUAAAAUAAACCCAGAAUCUUCAGCUUAGCUUUAAACAAAUAAACAAAAAAUAAGCCAUUUGGUUAGUUCAGGUUAUUUUCCCACCUAGUAGCUUAACAUUUCCUCCCUCUUCUCCCUGCAGAAAGGGGCAGUUUUGAUCAUAAUACACUACUUGUGGCUUUUCGCAUGUGUCAUAUUCAUUCACUUCUUUCUUAAUAAGCAGGGAUAGUUCAGGAAACAUGCUCUCCAAAAAGCUUUUCCCAACUUUAUCUCUGGCCUUGGUAAAGUAAGAAGAAAGUGAUGGUUAAUUUUGUGCCAACUUAGCUAAGCUAUGGUGCCCAGUUGUUUGGUCAAGUGCCAUUCUAAUGUCGCUAUGAAAAUUUUUUUCGUUAGAUAUGAUUAACGUUAAAAAAAAAUUUUUUUAAGUAGGCUUCAUGUCCAGCAUGGAGCCCAACACGAAGCUUGAACACAGAAGUCUGAGAUUAAGACCCGAGAUGUGAUGGAGAAUUGGGUGCUUAACCAACUGAGCCACCCAGGCUCCCACAGAUAUUAACAUUUAAGUCGGUAGACUUUGAAUAAAGCAAAUUGCCCUCCCUAACAUGAUCAGGCCUCAUCCAACAGUGGAGAACUUAAAGGGAAAGACUGAGGUUUCCCAAAGAAGAAGGAAAUCUCCUGAAGACUGCAACACAGAAACGCUGCCUGAAUUUCCAGCUCAUGACCAGCCCUCAGACUGGUCAUGCUCCACAGCCCUCAGACUGGUAGGCUCCACAACCACAGGAGACAAUUGUGUAAUAUCAAUCAAUCCAUCAAUCAGUCUCUCUCUCUCUCUCUCUCUCUCUCUCAGCUCAGCUCAGCACCCAUCCCCCCUUAUACAGAGAUUGUGUUUCUCUGGAGAACCUAUACUAAUACAGGAGCUUUCUAUUUUAACUCCUCCUAUGUCUAGAACUUAGCAGAUGAAUAAAUGAAAAGUUAAGUCUAGCAUGAAAUCACCCCCUCCCCCCCAGUAGAAGAGGACUUUGCAGUGCAGAGAUAAUCAGCUCAUGUCAGGGAAAUACUAGUGAGUUAACCUGGUCUCCAGCACAUCCCUGAACAGCCCCUCCCUUGCCUCCCGGUGACUUGAUCAUCUGAGGCAUAAUAAAAAAUAAUGAGGAAAAUAUACAUUUUAUGAGUCCACUCAUUCUGUUUUUGAAUGCAGGGAAACAUGGAAACAUGUUACAAAGAUUUCAACACAAGCAAUAUCAGUGCUGGAGGGUAGAACAGUGGGGUGGGGCCUCAGCCCUCCUGGAAGGAGGCGCAAAAUCAACUGCUCUUCAAGAGAGCCUAGAAAUGGGUGCCUUUCUCUGUGGUCCCAUUUCACCCUUUUUUGUGUGGGCUUUGAUUUUUGAAUGACUGAUGAGUCACUGAAAAAGACGUCUCCACACCAGCCGCUUUGGACUGCUUGUCUUCAACCUCUGGUCUAAACAAACCUGAACAUGUCUUCAGUGAAGUAAGCGAGCACAUGAUCAAAGCUCUAGGCAAGGAUGGCCAGCCUCCGGCUAUUUUUUCUGGUGCUUGCUGGACUUCUGCAUUUACACUAAAAAAUGCCAGAUCAUUCCCAGUAGGUAUGACAGAGAAUAGGUACUGGUAAAUAUUUACUGAAAAUCUCUGAGAAUAAAGUGCACACAGAGACUUCUUACCGAUUCGCACGUCACCAGUUCCCUCUUGCUUGGGCUCCUCUCUCUGGGUAUAAUCCUCCUCCAUCAGGAUCUUCUUCUAAAUCUCAAAGGAGAAACUGAGAAUAGAAAAGAACCAUGACUGGGAAGCCAAGGUGACCUUGGAGAACUGAAGGUCAACAGAGCUAACACUCGGGGAACACUAACUGCUGUUGAAUUUGAAAAACAGACAUCUUGGAUCAUCCUAUAAUCCCACUGCUGACUAUCCUUUAGAAUGACAAAUUUCAACACCAUCGCCACUAACCACUACCAACAAAAGUACAUUUUUGGUAGAAUUGUUACAUAUUAAAAAACAAAAACAAAUACAAAAAAAAAAAAAAAAAACAGAUGCCAGCAAACAAGUACGGGUCAAUACUUGGACAGAAGAACCAGUUUCUCAACAUUGUUGUUUCGACCUGGGGUUUGAUGUUACUUUAUAUUAUAUUUUUCAUCCCAUGCUCUGUCAGUCAUCCUGUUAGGUCCUUUGUCUUUAUUAUUUCUUUUACUUUUUAUAAAAUCUUAUAUUAUAGAAAAGGAAGCCAGUAUCUUUGUUCUUAAGAGCUUUCCAAAGAGCUCCUGACCAAGUCAGGCCUUUCUCAGCUCUUGUAUGUGUCUAGAUUUCUCUGCAGACUCAGGGAUGCCCCAGGAGAUGAUGUGGUCCCACGGCCAUAUGAGGGAUCUCAUCUGUUGUGCAUCUACUAUGCCAAAUAUUCCUCAUCUAAUUUUCACAAUGACUCUAAGACUAAGUAUUACCAUUCCCAUUUUACAGAUGAGAGACCUAAGGCUCAGGAAGAAGAAGAGAGUUAUCAAAAUCACAUAACCAGUAAUGCAUGCUACCUUUUAAGGUAACAAUCCUCAUCUACCAUUCAGAUGCCAAAAAAAGUAUCAGGUUUUGUUUAAAUUGUUCUUAAUCUAUUAAGGAGGAUGGAUUUUAAUGGUGGUAGAACUAGAAGCAGAAAGACAGUUAGAGGUCUAUACAAUAUUUCCAGGGAGACAUGUUAAGAAAAUAAAGUAGAGCAUUUGUUUAAGAUAAUAAGGUUCAAACUGUGAUAUAUUUGUAGAUACAGAAAUAGGCAUAGGCCCAAGGACAGAGAUAGAGAUAGAUAACUCAUCAGCCCAAGAUAACUCAAGAUAAUUUACUGGUACUGGCAGGUGGGUAAGGGGAGAGUCUGGUGUGAUUUGGUAGCUGAUAGAUAAUGUGCCAUUAUCCAAGAAUGGAAAUACAGGAAGUGGAACAGAUGGAAAGCAAGGAAGGGAAUUCAAUUUUGGAUAUGUUGAUUUGGAAUAUGUCAGCAGAGCAUCCAAAUAAAGUGUGAGGUACAGAUCAUGGUUGGAGUUGGAAGUUGGAAGGGUCAGGUCAUGAGAGGUUUUGUUUUUUCUCAAAACAGGAGGGAGCAAGCUAAGCUGGUUCAGAAGCUGAGGGAAGAUAGAGAGGGAAAUGGUGAAGAUCUAGAAGAGAAGAAUUAAGUGAUGGAUCGGGGUCAUAGGAGAAAGGGUGAGAAUUGGGUCAAGAGCCCAGUUGGAGGUUUGGCCUUGGCUAGAAGUGCUCCUCCUUUCAAAAGACUACAUAGGGAAAGGUGAUGAGGAUAGAUGCCUACAUGGAUCAAUGACUGUGUGUCAGGAAGCAGUAAGAGUAGUGGAUUUUUACAGGCUGAGUGCCUCAUGGUUGUCAGUGAAGGACAAGGUCAACUCUCCCAUUGAAAGUCCACCAGCUUUGGGGUGCCUGGGUGGCUCAGUUGGUUGAGCGUCCGACUUUGGCUCAGGUCAUGAUCCCGCAGUUCGUGAGUUCAAGCCCCGCGUGGGGUUCUGUGCUGACAGCUCGGAGCCUGGAGCCUGGUUCCGAUUCUGUGUCUCCCUCUCUCUGCCCCUCCCCUGCUCAAGGUCUGUCUCUCUCUGUCUCUCAAUAAUAAACUUUGAAAAAUAAUUUUUUUUAAAAACUUAAAAAAAAAAGAAAGUCCACCAGCUUGAACAUUUUGUAGGAGAUAAAUGCAGAAAUAUAGUCUUCCAUAAGUUGUAUUAAAAAGAAGCUUGAAAAGCAUUUGUGCCACAAGUAAUACCAUCAAGAAAGGGAAAAGACAACCCACAGAAUGGGAGAAAAUAUUUGCAAAUCAUACAUCUGAUAAGGGACCUGUAUCUGGAAUAUGAAAUGACUCUUAAAAUUUAAAAUGGUCACAGGAUUUGAAUAUAUACAAAUGCCAAUAAGCAGGUGAAAAGAUGCUGAGCAUCAUUAAUCCUCAGGGAAAAUCACAUUAAUACCACAAUGUGAUAUCGCUUCAUACCCCCUGGGGUGUCUAUGUUGAAAGAGACAGAUAACAAGUUAUUGGAGAGGAUACUUGUAAGGGCUUGGGGGAAUGGAAAUUGCCACUUUGGAAAACAAUGUGGUGAUUCCUCAAACGGUUAACCAUAGACUUACCACAAGAUCCAGGGUUCCACUCAUAGGUAUAUACCCAAAAGAAAUGAAAACGUACAUUCACAUAUAACUUGAAUACUAAUGUUCAUAUCUUCAUUUUUCCUAAGAGCCAAAAAGCGGAAACAACCCUUAUGUCCUUCAAUGGGUGAAUGGAUAAAGAAAAUGUGGUAUAUCUGUGUAAUGGGAUAUUAUUUGGCAGCAAAAAGGAAAGGAUGCUCCAAUGUAGACAACCCUUGAAAAUAUUAUGCUAAGUGAGAAAAGCAAGUCACAUCACAUCUUAUAUGAUUCUAUUUAUAUAAAGUGUCCUGAAGAAACAAGUCUAUAAAGACAAAAAGUAGAUUGGCAGUUGCCUAGAGCUGGGUGUGGGGGAGAGGUGGAGGAGCGAUAGGAUAUGACCGCUAAUGGGUAUGGGGUUUCCUUUUGGGGUUGAUGGAGAUGUUCUAAAAUUGGGUUGUGGAAAAUUCUGCAGAUACAUUAAAAACCAUUGGUAUCUGUACUUCAAAUGGAUGUAUACUCUGGUAUGGGAAUUACAUCUCAGUAAGUUGUUUUCAAAAAUGAAGCUUGAGGUCUAAGGAAAAGACUAUGGACAGAGGCAUGGAUGAAAGAACACUGUUGAAGACCAGAUAAUAAUGAUAAUAAUAGCCAUUAUGUUUGAGGAUUCACAAGCUGGGCACUGUGCUAAGCGUUUUACCUACAUUAUCUCCUUUAAUCUUUGCCACAAACACACGUAUAUUAGGUACUUUUUCCUUAUUACGCAGACAAUAAAGUUAAGAAAAUGUAAGGAACUUGUUCAAGGUUAAUAACAAGAAAAAGACAGAGACAAGAUAUAUAGACCUGUGUCUGUGUCCACCUGGAGCCUAUUUCUUUUUUUUUUUUUUGUCAUAUGAAAUUUCUUGUCAUAUUGGUUUCCACACAACACCCAGUGCUCAUCCCAACAGGAGGAACCUGUUUCUUAAAUACCUGCACUACGCUACUUCCCACAAAUUUUGCUGUCCCAUUUAGCUUCAACUUUCUGGGUUUAGCACAAAUGCCAAUGUCUUUAGGCCAGCCUCUUUUCGCUGGCCCAGCCACGACAUUUUAUGGGAGCACUCUACCAACCUUAGAGUAGUUCAGAGUGUCUUCGUUUCUGCCAUCCCAAGUAAGGGUUGUAAAAUAAAUGCAACACUAAUAAAGAGUUACAGAAUACAUACCUCAAUAAAUUAGCACUCUCUUUACCUCCUUCGCACCCAGGGGCCUUAGAAGCAGGACUGCUACCUUGUACAGAGCGAUUUCCUGCUGUUCAGGACACUGAUUAAGAGAUAAAGUUUGGGGCGCCUGGGUGGCGCAGUCGGUUAAGCGUCCGACUUCAGCCAGGUCACGAUCUCGCGGUCUGUGAGUUCGAGCCCCACGUCAGGCUCUGGGCUGAUGGCUCAGAGCCUGGAGCCUGUUUCCGAUUCUGUGUCUCUCUCUCUCUCUCUGCCCCUCCCCCGUUCAUGCUCUGUCUCUCUCUGUCCCAAAAGUAAAAUAAAAAACGUUGAAAAAAAAAAACUUAAAAAAAAAAGAGAUAAAGUAGCCAAGAGCUCCACCCAGAGAGAAUGUGUCUCUUCAUUCUCCUCUAUCCAGAAAAAUUGUGAAUGAGAAGAAAAGAACAGAGGUUAAUCUUAACUCUUAGAGAAGCAAUGCUCCUACCAAGUUGCUUCUCAAGAUGGUUCCUCUCAGGUUUUGAGGUCUUGAUGCUACCUUUCAGCUUUCCUCACCUAUUUAACCACACAUAUACCUACAAUGGCCUUUGCAGUGGAGUAGGGGUUCAAGAAAUUUUAUCUUCUUUCUCCAUUCCUUUCACUGUCCUCCCUCUUGUCCCCACUUGGCACUCAUCAAGUGCUUAUUACUCACAUACAGACCUCCAGAGCAGAAAGGGGGAACUGUAAAAGCAGAGACAAAAUACAAACCUGGUUCACUGAAACUGGUCUGCUUAAUCUCCUCUGUGCUCAGUAAUCCUAGCAAAAUUCUGGGGACCAUUUAAACUGAGACACUAAGUACCUCCUGAGGAAAUAUGGCAUCUGUUCAACAAUACCACUUUUUUUUUAAAAUAAUGUGAGGAUCAGCAGAGGAAAAAUAUUUAUUUGUAAUAAAAUAUCCCAAUGCUUAUGUGGGCUUCCAUUGUGCCAGACAUCGUACUGAAGUUUUUAUAGACAACAUUUCGUCAUCACCUAACUUCUUAUGGUGGGUUCUCCUAUGUGACGGAUGAGAAAAUAAAAGGAAGAAGAGAAGGAAUAACUUUUCCAAGGUCACCAAGUCAGUUUGCAGAGGGGACCAGCAACCUUCAAAAGCAGGUGACUCUGAAGUCUCUCCAUCUCUCCAUUACCCCACCUCCCACACCCUUUCUGUUGUCACCAAGCUCCUUUUCAUGGAGAUUGUUCUCCUAGAAGCAGUAAGGAGAAACAUGAUUAUAAAUAUAUAGAUAUAUUCAGAAGCAAUCAUCCAAUAUCAAUGCAAAAAUACUGAUUAAAUAUUAGAAAACAAAAUCCAACACCACAUUAAGAAAAUAUACCAUGAUCAAGUGGGAUUUAUUUCAGGAAUGCAAGGAUGAUUGGGAAUUAAGAAAUCUAGUAAUAUAAAAUUCCACAUCAGUAGAUGUAAGUGGAAUAAUUAUGUGAUUAUCCCCUAUAGGAAAAAAAAAAAGCUUUUGACAAAAGAUUCCUGAUAAAAACACUCAAGAAAAUAAGAAUCGAUGCGUAUUUCCUAAACAGAAUACCUUGGUCCUAAAAUCAGCAUUGUGCUUAAUGAGAAAUACUAGAGAUAGUUCCACUAAGAUUAGGAAAGAGUCAAGAAUGCUUACCAUCUCUACUACUGUUGAAUAUUGUUCUAGAGGCAUUAGCCAAUACAAUGUAAAAGGGCAGAACAAUAAGAGACACAGGAAUUGGAAAAGAGCUAAAACUGUUUUCCAAUGAUAUGACAGCUUAUUCAGAGAACCUGAGGAAAUCAACAAUAAACUAACACAAACAAUAAAAUAAAUGCUAAUUUACUAGGGCCAAUUUUAGUUUUGUUAUAGUUAGAAUAACUUCAACCUUCAGAAAAGCUGCAAAAUGGGAAUGCAAACUGGUGCAAUUACUCUGGAGCAGUAUGGACGUUCCUCAAAAAAUUAAAAAUAGAACUCCCCUACAACCCAGCAAUUGCACUACUAGGUAUUUAUCCAGAGGAUACAAAAAUGCUGAUUUGAAGGGGCACACGCACCCCAAUGUUUAUAGCAGCACUAUCAACAAUAGCCAAAGUAUGGAAAGAGCCCAAAUGUCCACCAACUGACAAUAGAUAAAGAAGAUGUCGUAUAUAUAUAUAUAUACACAUACACACAAUGGAAUAUUACUCAGUGAUCAAAAAGUGUUGCCAUUUGCAACAAUGUGGAUGGAACUAGAAUGUAUUAUGCUAAAAGAAGUCAGUCAGAGAAAGAUAAAUAUCAGAUGAUUUCACUCUUAUGUGGAAUUUAAGAAACAAAACAGAUGAACGUAAGGGAAAGGAAGGAAAAAUAAGAUAAAAAGAGAGAGGGAGGCAAACCAUUCUCUUAAAUAUAGAGAGCAAACUGAGGGGUUGCUGGAGGGGUGUUGGGUGGGGGGAUGGGCUAAAUGGGUGAUGCGCAUUAAGGAGGGGACUUGUUGGGAUGAGCACUGGGUGUCAUAUGUAAGCGAUGAAUCACUACAUUCUAUUCCUGAAACCAUUUUUACACUAUAUGUUAACUAACUUGGAUUUAAAUGAAAUUUUAAAAAGUAAUAAAAUAAAAUGAAUUUUUUUAAAAAGCUGCAAGAAUAACACAACAAAUAUUUUUCCUGGAACCAUUUGGAAGUAAGUUUUGAAUAUGGUGCCCGGCAUUACUGAAUAGUUUAGUGACGUAACUCAUCAAACAAGGACAUUCUCCAGAAACUCACAAUAUAAGGAUCAAAAUCAGGAAAUCAUCAUUGACACUACCAUUGAAUUCACUAACUUCUUUUAAGUUUAAUUAAUUGUCCCAACAGUAUCUUUUUUUUUUUUUCUGAGAGACAGAGGGGGCGCAAAUGAGUGAGGGUGCAGAGAGAGAGAAUCUCAUGAGGAGCAGAGAGAGAGAAGCAGGGCUUGAGCUCAUGAACUGUGAGAUCAUGACCUGAGCUGGAGUCAGAUGCUUAACCGACUGAGCCACCCAGGCACCCCCAACAAUAUCCUUUAUAGGAGCUAAUCUAGGAUCAUGUACUGCACUUAGUGGUUGUAUCUCUUUAGUCUUUUUUCCACUCUGUAAAAGUGUAGCAUGGGUGGCCUUUCUUAAUUUACCCUCACUCCCGCCCCUCUACACCAGGGGUAUCAGAAAAGGCCAAGACUGACCACAGCCCAAACUAUCCUGCCAGACAUAGAAAAUGAAUAAUUGCUUGAAUGUGUAGAGAGAAGCUUGGAAAUGAUGCCAUGCCUUUUAUCUUCUCUUAUUUUUACUAUAAAAAUUUUGAAAUAGAAUAUGAAUGUGGAAAUAUGUUAAAUCAUUCACUCUUUGCUGAAUUCUUCCUAGAUAGAAUAUUCACGGGAAAAAAAUGUCUUCUUUCCAAAUGGUUCUAAGACAAGGUCUCUUAGGUUGUAUAUUCUCUGGUCUGAUCUCCAAGUAAAUCUCAGGUAAGGAGCCUAUUCUUAGAUUAAAUUUUAUACAAGCACACAAAGAAUACAACUGUCCCCAUUGUGUUAGAUAUGGGCUCUAAGCAAGCUAAAAAAAAAAAAAAAUUCUAGUCUGAAUUUGCUUCAAAGUUCUGUUGGGAAUUUUUGGAAAUCUGUUUGAUUACCACUAAUUUCAUGGAGUGAUAGUUCAAAUUUCUUUACAUGUAGAGCCUACAACUACUUUUCCAUAACUAUAUUUUUUCUGGUGUCAUAUCAUUAGCUUUCAUUCAAUUAUCUGAAGGCUUUUAAAAGUAUAACAGAUACAUAGGUAACCAUCAUGCUAUGUGUGUUUGAUGAAUCUUUGUGCUCAUUAACCUACCCAGAUACAUUAUUGGAUUUCCUUAUUUCUGUUUUUUCUUUUUAAUGUUUAUUCAUUUUGAGAGAGAGAGAGAGAGAGAGAGAAAGAGAAAAAGAGAAAGAAAAUGAGUGGGGGAGAGACAGAGCAUCUUAUUUCUGGAGUCCGGACAGGUUUCUGGAGCCAGUGUGAAUGAUCACAUGGAGAGUUGCCAGGUUUUUGUGGCAAAUUCUAGAUUUCUUUUAGUGCCUGGGAUCCAUGCUUCUUGAGGCUAACUCAGUGGAAGUAGUCUUGAAUGUUGAUGUUCUAUUUUCUCAUCUCCUUGGUGGCGGAAUAACCCCCCACCACACACACCUUUUUUUUUUUUUUUCCCCUACCAUUCUUUGUAGGAGCCGUAUUAUCUCAGAAAAGGUUGGAAAGAGAUGGAUUAUGGGAGGGGCAAAAUUCCACUUUCUGGUUGCCUAGAGACAAGGCCACACCAGGGAACAUUAAAAAAUACAGAUUCCUUAAUACCAGUCCAGACUUUCGAAUCAGAAUCUGUGGAAUAAAUCCAGUAAUACGUAUUUUUUAAAGAAAUUUCUCAAGAGAUUCUUCCUUGACUAGCAUUGAGAAGUUGUGUUUUACACAUAACGUUUUGCAGAAUGAUCCCUAAAAAAACUUACAAGAGUCUGGGAAAUAAUGCUCUCCCUAGCCCCUUCUUAGCACACUGUGGCUCAUAUUAGCAUAUGCAUUUAAGGAAACAUCUACUUAAUUUUGUUUACUGCAACAUUUCUCAAACUUAUUUGACUAUAGAACACACUUCUUUUUUUUUGACACAGCACAUUACUAUGCCAUCCCCAAAAGUACAAGCUUUAUGAAAUGUUGGGAGAGAAAAUACAACUCACCGUGUCACCCCCUUUUUUAUUAACAAAAUCAGCACCUCUGAUGUUUGUCAACUCACUAAUGCUUACAACUUGCAGCCACUUAUCAGGACUAUUAUACAAGGUUUCAUAGGGCCUUCGUUCUCAAUACUAGUCUCUGUCUCAUCCUCUGCUCAUUCCUAAACCUUAGAUGUUAAAAAAAAUAAAAGUAGUUAUAGAAUUGGUAUGCAUUGAUUACUUCCUGAAUGCUAGGCUCUGUUCAAAGUACUUUUCGGGCCCUAUAUCAUUAAUCCAUAGCCCUAUGGAGUAGGUUUUAUUAUUAUAACAAUGUUAUGACAGGAUAUCGAUGUAAAGAGAGAUUAAGUAGCUAAACCUAAGAAAACACACAGUUACUAAGUGGUGAAUCAGGUAUUACAGACAUUGAAUCCAGGUGUUCGGACUCUGAGUUGAUAGUAUUAACCAGUCUUAUUUUGUUUGAGCAUUAGUCAUUGCUCGUCCUCUACUUCCUCUGCUUCUCCAUGCUCCUUCUUGGCAGUCUCAUCUAGUCGAAGCUUCACCUUGUCCACACCUUGCUAAACCCUUUCCCCAACUCUUGUUCUCUCUUCUGGGCCACAGACCCACUCACUAACUGCUUGCCAGACAUCUCAGUGGGGAGCUAUCACUGGAACCUCAAAGUCAAUAUAAUUCUAAUAGAAUCUCAUCUUUCCCCCUCCAAAUUUACCCCUCCUUUUGUGUUCUCCCUUUCCAGUCAUUCACGUAUUUCUUCCUACGACAUAUCUGAGCAUCUAUUACGUGUUUGGUACUAUGCCCUGGUAGGGAUAUGUAUGUAUAAAAAUGAACAGAACCUGGGUUCUUACUCUCGGUUUCUAUGGCCCCGUAACUUCAGUGAACACAUGCUUCAUCAUGCCCUCCUCCUCUUUCUUUGUUAUGUUCUUCCAGAUCAAUCUCCAGCAGCUAUAUUCAUUGUCUAAAUUGUUCUCAAGCUAUAUUUACUUGAAAGGGAGUUUGGUUUUCCUGAAUUAUUUUCCCAUGACAGGUCACAGGCACACACAUCUAUAGGUGGUGUGUCAGAUUGUAUUCUAAGGAUGGCGACACCACCAAACAUGCAACGUGACACAUUCUUGCAAUGUGACAUUGACAGUCCUUCAUGAGAUGGGGUCUAUACCUCCUCCCUUUGGAUCUAGGUGGGCUUGUAUCUGCAGUGGAAGGGAUAUUAUGUGCUUUUAGAGGCUACGUCCUAACAGGCAAAACAACUCUUGCCUGGCCUUUUGGGGGUGCUUAUGCUUGGAAACCAAGGAAGGGGAAAGGCCUCACAGAGUUGCUAUGUGAAAGUGUCCCAGGUUAUGGUCCCCACCGAGGACCCAGCCGACAGCCAGUACCAACCUCCAGACUGGUGGGUGGACAAGAUUUCAGAUGAUUCGCAGUCCUGGCCUUUAAGCUACCAUAGCUGAUGCUGAGCAGAGCAGAGCAAAAACAAGUUAUCUCCUCUGAGCUUUACAUAAAUUGCCGAUGUGUGAGCCACAUAAGUGUUGUCAUUGUUUUAAGCCGUUGAGUUUUGGGAUGGCUUGUUAGGUAGCAACAGACAGGCAGGAUAGGUGCCUACAUUUGUUUUAACCUCCUAUAUGUUGCCAGAGGCAAGGUCACAUAGCGCAGAGCACAGUUGCUGCCAAGGAGGCAAGCACCCGGAUUAAAUGUCAAUCGUGCGUCAUUAUUUUUUAAAUGUUAAUCCUCUAUAGCACCUAAUAGAGUGUGUGGCAUGGAGUAUAUGCCAAAUAAAUACUUAUUGAAUUGAAUUGAAGCAUGAUGUGAUAGUAAGAACAUACAUCUUGCUGUCAGCUAUACUAAAUUUUAAGUCAAAGUUCUAGAUGCCACAGUUCUAAUUUUUAAAUAAGAGAGAUAAGGACAAAAUGAGAAAGACUGAAGCCUGAUUGCAAAGGAUCUUGAAUGCACGGUUAAGAUUCUUUUUUUUUUUUUUUUUUUUUAGGUAAUGGGGACUCAUGGAAGAUUAUAGAGAUGUGAUAGGCAUAAGGCAACUUUUUGAGAAGAUUAAUAUGGCUGCAAGGCAUGGAAUGGGAGCCCAGGUAAGCAAAAACCGGUGAGGAAGUGAAGUCAGUGUCCAAGCAUGUUAGUAUCUAAACAGUACCUAAAAAAUGUAGCCAGGAGAAUGUCAGGCCAGGAUUAAAUGGGAGGAUGAUUUACCAAGGAUGUUUCUAUAGAUUUUGAGUUGGAGCCUAUAAAGGAGAAGAUUAGUAUAAAGAAAAAGAAGUCCAAAAUGGAUCCCAAUAAUUUGGCAGAAUUUAUUAAAAAUUAUUCACAUAGGAUAGGCGAUGUAUGAUUCAGCAAUCUCACUUCUGAAAAUAUGCCUUAUUAAGAAAUGACAGCAAAAGUACUUAAAUAUAACCAUCAGCCAGGUAAUGGUUAAGUAUAGUAUGUCUAUACAAUGGAAUAAUGUGAGAAAGAAGUAACUCUGAAUAAACUGAUCUGAAUAAGCUUUAAGUGGAAGGGGCAUGUUGUAAACAGAUAUACAUAUAUGUAUAUUAUAUAUAUGUAUACUAUCUGAUUUUUGUUAAAAGCAGAAGAAAAGCCUGAGUGUCAGAAAGAAAAAAACAUUAAAAUUAAUGCUAUUUUCCUCUGGAAACUGGGGAUUUUGGAAGGGUGUGGGAGUGAAGUGGUCUUAAAAUAGAUACUUUGAAAACUUUGUAUAAUUUGAUUUUUUGUUGUUCCUUGCUUUUUUUUUCUUUAAUCAAAACAUGAAAAACACAUUUUAAGUUCACAAGUCUGAUACCAUUACGAGCAAAGAGUAUCAUUCACAGAAACAGUAAAGUCUGAAAAGACUAUUAGGUUCAGGGCAUCGAUGAUGAUUCAAUGUGGAUUAAUGUGUUUUUGGCAUAAAGGGCUGAAUCAUGGUUGGAGUUGUAAUCUUUGGCAGCGUCGAACGUGUGCAUGGGCCAGGCCUUCUAGAACAUGGUUCUGGUAGGGCCAGUCAGGAGAUGUGGACGAUCAGGUGGGGCUUGCAGCUGAGAGCAAGAGAGGGACUGGGACUUCUGCCUGUCCCAGCACUGGAAGGAAUAACUCUUUUUGACACAGCCUGUUUACCCAAAAGCCUGUUUAUUCUCAUGCCAUUGAUGUGAUUCCAUAAUAAUUAACUCUGGACCUUCCAACCUAAUAUGAAAGUUGGUAGGUAGGACAACUUCCUACAGGUAAAAGUCGUCUUCAUAAAUUUAUCUAUCCCCACCAUGAACUUAUUUACAUUUUUAACCUGGAAUAUAUCUAUAGCUACAUUCAUAUCUAUGUUUAAAUCUAUAUUCAUAGCAUCUAUAUUAUCUGUAUAUUUGUCUAGAUAUAUGAACAGAAAUAAAUAUCCUGCCUGCACAUUCUCAUAUAAAAUAAUCAGCAUUUAUUCAAAUUUAGCCCUGACCAAUACAAGUUAUUAGGACGUAUUAAAUGUAGGGUAAAUAUAUUAUAAGAAUGGAUUCCACACAAGGUAUUAUAUCAGUAUGUUGUAGAACCAGGGUUUUAUUACAGGAUUACUGACUGCUUCUCCAGAUGGAUUUAAAUUGAUGACUCUAAGAAAAUUUUUGCAAAAAGGCGCCUUUUAGCCUACUGACCCUAGAAAUGUGCUUAUCAUAGCUCCUGGGAAGAUCUCAUUUCCCUUCAUGGCUUCAAAAUGCUUUGGGCAAAAGAAACAUUGUGUAUUUUAUUAAGUGAAUAUUAUCCUCAAAGCACACUAAUGAAUUUUUUUAAUACAUGAAAAGCCUCCUUUAAAGUCUGUUCAAUAUAUAACACACAUUGCCUUGGAGAAGUAUUAAAUAAUAUAUUUGAAAUUUUAGAAAUGCAUAUGCAAAGUUCUCAGCCGAAGUCCCCCAAAUAUUUGUAAUUCUACUGUUGUCAGUUUCCUUUUAUGUAUCCUGUCUCCUGUAGGUUCUGAACAGAUAUAGGGAUAACAAAAAACCGUGUCAUGAUGCCUUUCUUUUCUUUUCCUUUUUUAUUUACAAAGCAAGAAGAAAGGCAUGGGAGUAUAUGAGUUGCCUAAAAUCUCACUGCCCUUCAUGCUGACAAUGAUAUUCUUAGACUCUGGGAUGUGUUCACGUUUUUUGCUAUUCUCUUUACUCAUGACAUUUAGAAACAAGUGACUAAUACUUACCUAAGAAGUGUGUAUGUAUUUGUAUAAAAUAUAUGUGUAUAUUUUAAAUCACUGCUAUGAAUGUAUAUGCUACCUCGUAAAUUAAUAGAAAAAAUACAGCAUUUCAAGCAAAGAAUUUAGAUUGCUUUAACUUUGUCCAUUUCUUUCUCUCCCGAACAGAAAUGCCAGACUUGGUUUCCCUGCUUGUCCUCCCGCAGUAUACCCUGCCAAGCUAUUCCAAAGUGAAAAUCAUUACUUCCUGCUAUCUAGUAGGCGUACAGGAACCAGAGGAAGAAGAGAAGCUUCUUUUCUGAAACCAGGAACAAUGCUCGGAUGUGGAGGCCUCUGCCAAACUUUAGUAGCUUUCUGUGCAUCCUUUACUACCGCUGGGGGGAACAAAAUUACCAAUUUCUCCAUGACAGUUUGGCUCCAUGAUGGUUUGAAAAAG